GGCUAUUUUGGUCACAAAAAACAAAAUAUCACAUCUAACCCAUAAUUAUUACAUUCUUUUUUUACAAAAAAAAGUCAAAAAAAACCAUAAAGUCCUUUCCAAAUCAAACUUUUUAGCCCAGGCUAAAAUACUAAGUCAAAAAGCCAACCCACCUUCCAAAACGGAGGCUUAAUAUUCUGAAUUGUUCAAUGUGUAGAAUGUGUACUCGUCGAGUAUUUAUAUGAAUAUAAAAAAUC
Molecule: unclassified non-coding RNA, 236 nt
Filed under: Hevea brasiliensis (rubber tree)
Lineage: Eukaryota; Viridiplantae; Streptophyta; Magnoliopsida; Malpighiales; Euphorbiaceae
Source: RNAcentral